AUUUUAUUUCCAUUUUGGAAUGCAACCCCUAGUAAUUGACUCCAUGAAGACUCAGUUCUUAUAUGUUGGUGGUGUCUCAUGUAUUCAUACCACCUCCUGAUCCUAAAUUCUCUUUUCAAAGUUGUUCUAUCUUUUACCCAUUUAUUGCCAUGACCAAACUAUCUAUAUCCCAGCUUUAAACUUAAAAACUUAAAAUUUUACUACUUUAAGCCUUGAUCUUUGAUCUUAAUACUUAGAUGAAGAAUAGAAGUUUUGGAAGAAAGCAAAACUUCUGUACAACCUAAGGAGAUAUCUUAUGAAGAAAUAACCUUUCUCUUGCCUUGGUAAAAAUGUUGACCACAUGUAUUUCAAUUCAGUUUAUGUCAUAAAGUUAUAAAGCUAAAGACUGCUUACUCACAGAGAUGGUUAUGGAGGAGUCUGUGUCUAUCAGACUUCAUGCCUUUAAAUUAAAAAGGCUAUCACCAUGUCAUUCAAACAGAGGUAAUAAAACAUGAGUAUUAGGUGGACCUAUGGCUUCGAACAUGGCAAUUACCUUGCCUCUCUCGCUUUUCUUCUGUCUCUAUUGUUUGCACUCAUUACUGUUCAAUUUCUACCCAGCUCUAGAGCCUCGUAUAUUUGUCUCCAAUGUUUUCAUGUCCCAAACUUGCCAACAUAUUUGCUUUCUCUGUUCUUGGUGGUUGGGAUGCCUGGGAAAAUCUUCUGCACUCCAGUUUUUUUCUGCUCCUGGAUACUCACAGUAGCUACCUGGCAUUCCUUCACUUCCCCUGUCCCUAAGAACAUAAAAACCAUGAAAAGUGAAGUGAAAGUGGUAACUUGAAGAAAGUUCACUACACUGUUGUUGCUACCUUGCAAAGGAGCUGUGGAUUCUUGGGAGGCCUCAGAGAAGCCAUGGAUGGCUCCGAAAAAAAAAAAAAAAAAGAACCUGGGUUUUAAUCUACCUUUGACCUAUAAAUGUUUACAUCAGAUUAUCUCCUAGGAGUCAGAAAACAAUAUGGCUCUGCCAGUGGAUGACACAUGGAUGAGGUUCAGACAAGCCUAAUACAACUCGAAGGCACACUGCCCUGAUAAUACGCACUGAGUACUAAAGAGAAGAAAUGCCCCAGUGGAUGCCUAGCCCACAUGGAUUUCAACCCUGAGCAAUUUGAGCUUUGAAGUUUGCACAUGGGCAUUGUUCACCUCGUCAGGAAGAAUCAGCUUUUCCAUGAAGAAAGGAGUGUGAAGGAUCCUAUGAAACCAGUUGAAAUUUGGACUACACUGUUUUUACUGUGAGCUGCUAAGUUUGGGAGUCUUGUGGACAGAAUCCAGAGUGAGCCACCCCAUGCUUAGUUCAUCAUGUGACCUCUCUUCCAGCACUUCGGAUCUUAGCUUUUGGGCCUGAAGACUAAGAAUGGAGCAUCAAUAAUUAAAGAGAAGUUUGCCAGCCUUCGCUCCAUGGUCCCUGUGUCCUCUGCAUUCAACAAGCAGGAAUAAAAGUGCAUGGAGAACUUAUAAAUGCGUCUUUAAAGCCUAGGAUGAGAGAAGACAUUUCAUUUCUUCUAUUUCUAUUUUAUUGGUGAAACUUGGUCACAUGGCCACAAUAGAUGUAAACAGUUCCAGGAAAUGUAGUCUUUGGCUAAGAAGUCUCCUCCCAGCAAUGACUUGACAUUAUGAAGGGUAGCACCCAGAUUUUGGUAAACAAUUAUCAAUUUCUGCUACAAAACACAUCAUCAUAGCCUUGAAAGAGACCUUAUGGGAGCACCUGGGUGGCUCAGUUGGUAAAGUAUCUGCCUUCCACACAGGUCCUGAUCCCAGAGCCCAGGAUUAAACUCUUUAUCAGGCUCUCUGCUCAAGGAGAGUCUGCUUUUCCCUGUGCCCCUCACCACUCUUGUG
Molecule: long non-coding RNA, 1869 nt
Organism: Mustela lutreola (European mink)
Lineage: Eukaryota; Metazoa; Chordata; Mammalia; Carnivora; Mustelidae
Exons: 5
Source: RefSeq, a predicted model, not a curated record